UUGUGACUCUAUAAAUAGAAGAUCUCUCUUCUCAAAGCCACAGCACAAUAACAUCCACAAUGUAGUUGUUAAAGAAUCUUGUUUAGGGAGAGAUUUCUCCCAAUAGAUUUUAAGCUUUUUUAUUUAGUUUUCAAUGUGUAGGUAUCAAAUCAUAUCUAUAAUAUUAUGUUUUAGUAUAUUUUUCUUUGUCAUCUAAAUUAUCAUCUCCAUGAUUUACAAAUUUAAGCUUUCCUAUA
Molecule: long non-coding RNA, 236 nt
Filed under: Capsicum annuum
Lineage: Eukaryota; Viridiplantae; Streptophyta; Magnoliopsida; Solanales; Solanaceae
Description: long non-coding RNA (CANN_LNC018219)
Source: RNAcentral